GGAAAAUCUGAGUACUUGGUUUGGCGUCAGAAGAUUUGAGCUGGAGCCUGGGCACUGCUAUGUGAAUCUGGGAAAGUCAUUUGAAUUUUCCAAGCCUUGAUGUUUUUAUCUGUAAAACUGGAGUGAUGGUACUGCUUGUUGCCUACUUCAAGGGGUUGUUGGAAGGGGAGAGGAAAAUUAACGUCAGAUGAUAAGACACAGAAAAUGCAAAACACAGUGGGAUGUUAUGAACACUCAAGGAAGGGGAAACCAAAUGGAGGAGCUACGUCAACAUUUAAUCUGAAUAAAAGAUGCAGCACCCCUAACUCCCUGCUGAGUGCAUCCUCUCAUCUGAAGCCACUUCUAAGGACUUUUGUAGAAAUGUUGACUCUUGAGCCAAAGGAUUACAGUGAACAUGCGUCUCUGAGUGAUACUGGAGGAGAUUUCAGCUCCCAAAGACCUCUGAGAGGAGGGCAAAUGUUCAGAGAGGGCAAGUGGACAGUGGAAUCACUAGGUUUACCUCAUCCUUUGUUUACUUGGGAGAAUGAACUUCUUGCCUGUCAGGGGGGUCCGCUCAGCUCUAAAUCGUGAGGUGAAUCCAGAUUACUUGCCUGUGGUGGACGGAGCAGGGGACAGAGAUUCUUCCAGCAGAGGGAACAGGUCAGC
Molecule: long non-coding RNA, 645 nt
Filed under: Cavia porcellus (domestic guinea pig)
Lineage: Eukaryota; Metazoa; Chordata; Mammalia; Rodentia; Caviidae
Description: lncRNA (ENSCPOG00000040242.1)
Source: RNAcentral